Molecule: long non-coding RNA, 225 nt
Filed under: Medicago truncatula (barrel medic)
Lineage: Eukaryota; Viridiplantae; Streptophyta; Magnoliopsida; Fabales; Fabaceae
Description: long non-coding RNA (MTRU_LNC001261)
Source: RNAcentral
AGUGAUUCUUUGAAGAAUCAUCAUCAUUGAAUCAAUAUCUUCGCAAUUCAAGGUGCGAAUUCGCCAAAGGCAAACUCCAGCACCGAUCACGAAGAUACAGUGAGGAAGACGAAGAAGAAAGAAAGACAGUGAAAGUUUAAACCGGCGAAGAAGACGAUAAAGCAAGAAAUCAGCAAGAACACCGGUUUAUUUCCGGAUUCAAAGCCAAAUCACAUAGCAUCAGAG